CUGUAUAUGUUAGCAUAUAUAUAAAUAUAUAUAUAUAUAUCUAUACAAUUAUAUUCUAUGUGCAGCGCGUAUCCCUAACCCUAAACUUUCUUAUUCUAUGUGCAGAUUCUAAAUCUAAAUCUAAAUCUAAAUCUAAAUCUAAGAGGCGCAGAUACGAGUUAUGGCGGAGAUGCUUCGACUACUAAAGAAGCCGAUGAUGACGACGUGGAGAACCGAUCUUCCUUUAAGGUUCGGCAUCAUGCUCUUUAACCAGUUCAAUUAUUUUUUUCUAGAUCCGUUUUGCGCUAGCAUAAUUUAGGGAUUUUGUCGUAGCCAGUAGAUAUGGUAAUUAAAGAACUAAAGAAUUUCUCUUUGAUUUGAAGGGUUAGUGAAACAAAAAGGGUAACUGUACUGAGUCCCUCCUCUGUGUUGCUAUUUAUUUUGAUUUGUGCUAUCAUAAUUUAGGGGUUUGGUUAUAGUAAGGUUAAUUUUUCUUUGGAUAUAGUAACUAAAGAGCAGAAGAAUUUCUCUUUGAUUUGAAGGGUUAGUUAAACAAAAAAGGUAAUUGUACUAAAUCCCUGUGUUGCUAUAUUUAUUUAUGGACAGGCUCGUAUUAUUAGGUCGAUGUUCAUGGCAUUUCAUAAUUUUGUAUACGGAUGGAGAACAAAGGUUGAGGGGUUUUUGCAAAUGAUGGGUCGUGCUUCAACAAGAUAAUUCUAGAAGAUACCCACUGUACAUGUAAGUUUGAUCUUUUAGUAUUUGAGGAAAUGUUGAUCUUUUUAAUUUAUUAUUCGUCUUAUAGAUUGAGCUAUAGUAUCUUCUUAUUGUCUUAUAGUCUGUUUGUCCAUAAAUUAACUCAUUUCCUUCAUCAGAGUAAAAUCAGCAGGGUUUCUAGUUUCUGUUGGCAGUGCACGCUUCAUCACUAGUAUGAGCAUCCACAACAUUACACCUUAAGUGACUCCACACCUAUUGCAAAACGAAGGGCUUGAUAUUCAAUACUGGGGGAUCCACUACAUCACACCUUAAGUGGAUGCCAGAUGACUGAUCAUUCAUCAUUCUCUUGCCCUUGGAAGAGAAGUUACGCAAGUGACCCUGAUGCCAUGGCAGCACCGUGGAUUAAGGGAGCAGAAGCCAGAUGUCCUAACAGAUGUCAUAACAGCGCAGAGUUUUGGAAUGCCUGAUUCCUAGAUUUGCAAAAUAUAACCUUCUUUCCCUCGCUCUAUAGUUGUUAAUACCAUUCCAUGGAGGGUACCCUAAUACCCUUUCGGAUUUAUCAGACACUAAAAAUGAUAAUUUUAUGUGUAAUUGUUGAAUACUUGUAUGAAAGCACAUAAUUUAUCUUUCUAAGUACCCCCAUCAUGAUCCUCUUUCUAACUCAAUGAUUUGAGUGCUGCUGAACGUUUAAUAACGUAGUAAUUUAAUAAUGUAGUUGUCUUAAGAAACUUUAGCUAUACAAAUUUACCUUUACGGAAUUUGUAGUAGUAUAUUCACAUUUCACUUGUAAGUGGUGCAUCUAUACAAGUUUACCCUCCCUGAACUUGCUUUGGUUCAAAAUCAUAAAGUUAAGGUGAGUUAUUUUUUAAUUAUUUAAGUUGCUAAUUCUAUUUAAUUUAUUAGUUGUCUAUUACUAGUGGAUUAUUAUAUAUCAUUUUGACAUUGAUGAUGGUGGACUAAUGAAAUUAUAAAUUGAAUAUUUGUUAGUUGGUAAGUAAUUAGUAGAUUCUUUAUUUGAUUGUGCAAUAAUUUAAAUUUGGUAUACUCUUUUUAUGAAUUAGUAUGAGCUUAAUAUGGUUGUAUGACCAAAUAUUUUUCAGUAUCUUUUAAGCUCGCCUUUGUUAUAAUUCCUAGCAUUUCUACCGCUAGCUCGAGGGAGUAAACCAAGGACUGCAUGUGAAGUAGGCAUAAAUGAUUGGGAACUAAAGAAAUUAUACCUGCAUUCAAUAGAGUGGUUUUCAAAACUUCAUUACUUGAGAAGUUUUUGUUUAGGAACUUUGGUCUUAAUAAAUUCAAUUAUAAUUAACUAAUUUUGUAAAAGGAUUUCUUUUAAUUUUGUUAUUAGUACCUUGCAAGUAGGGGUUAAUUUAUAUAAUGUUUGAAAGUGAUAUCUACUCAUUGAACUUGUAGCAAUGGUGAACUUGUAUUACAUAUGAGAAGGAUUGGCACAUACUAACUUGCAUUUUUUGAAUAUGUAGGAAAUCAUGUCCAACCAGGUAGAUAUGGGAGAAUUUAGCUUUCUAUCCCUGUUGUUAGAUGGUGAUGAACAUAUGUACCAUGAACAACUGCUUGCCACUCACUAGCCUCAACACCUGCAGGCAGCACUAGGACAGUUCAGAAAUGCAAAUUCUGUGGACAUGAUUGUAGCGCUGGGGCAAUUCAUGUGUUUCAAUUCUUGACCCAUGAUUGGGCAUUCGUAAGUAUUGCAGGCACAACUGCAGAACCAGCAGGUAUCCAAUGGUUUCAAACUCUGGGAGCACGCAACUACAGGCUUGGAGUUUUGAAAAUAAAUAUGGCUUGCCUGCAUAUUUUUUUCCCGCACACCUAUUCACUAAUUACAAAUGGGAACUUGGAGACUACACGCCCACUGCAAAAUUAAGGGCUUGACAUUCAGCACUGGGGGAAUCCAACAUCCACAACAUCACACCUUAAGUGGAAGCCAGUUGACGAUCAUUCUCUUGGCCUUGGCCUUGGAACAAAUGUUAUAUUAGUUCUAACAUACAAUGUUUAAAACGUAUACUCUAAUUAGUUAGUGCUUGAAGGUUUCUUAUGUGCAUCUUUCUCUCUAUAUAAAUGUAAUAUGCAUUAUAUUAAUUCAAAUAUGUAUUGUAUUAUACUAAGGAUAUAUUUGUUUGCAAGAAUUAUAAUCCCAUGGUAUAAUUCUAGACUAUUAAUUUUAGGAUUAAAUAGUCUUAGUAACGUGUUUGUUUAUGGGAUAAGUUAAAAUAAU
This 2923-nucleotide long non-coding RNA is filed under the name Panax ginseng (ginseng). RNAcentral's name for it is "long non-coding RNA (PGIN_LNC001512)". The record is from RNAcentral. Lineage: Eukaryota; Viridiplantae; Streptophyta; Magnoliopsida; Apiales; Araliaceae.